This 246-nucleotide long non-coding RNA is filed under the name Ananas comosus (pineapple). RNAcentral describes it as "long non-coding RNA (ACOM_LNC023778)". The record is from RNAcentral. Lineage: Eukaryota; Viridiplantae; Streptophyta; Magnoliopsida; Poales; Bromeliaceae.
CCUAGUCCGUCGCAUCAUCACCUACUUAUUCUAGUUUUGUGACACCCUAAUCGUCUCAUAUCAGAUAACAUAAUAGAGUGUGAGAGACUUUGAUGUGACGAACAAAAUAAAACUAAUUAACAAUGUACUGGACUUAAAUGUUUUGGACUAAUGGUUUGGGCUCAACGAGUUAUUAGUGCCAGUGGCUUAGGUCGUUAUAAGUUUGAUUUGUCCUGCUCUUCUUCAAUUGGCGAUAAGACUAAAAAC